This 500-nucleotide ribosomal RNA is filed under the name uncultured bacterium. Its description in RNAcentral is "partial 16S ribosomal RNA". It matches the Rfam family "Bacterial small subunit ribosomal RNA", at positions 30 to 523 of the family's 1533-position model. The record is from RNAcentral.
AUUGAACGCUGGCGGCAUGCCUUACACAUGCAGGUCGAACGGCAGCACGGGAGCAAUCCUGGUGGCGAGUGGCGAACGGGUGAGUAAAGUAUCGGAACGUGCCCAGUCGUGGGGGAUAACGUAGCGAAAGUUACGCUAAUACCGCAUACGAUCUAUGGAUGAAAGCGGGGGAUCGCAAGACCUCGCGCGAUUGGAGCGGCCGAUAUCAGAUUAGGUAGUUGGUGGGGUAAAGGCUCACCAAGCCGACGAUCUGUAGCUGGUCUGAGAGGACGACGAGCCACACUGGGACUGAGACACGGCCCAGACUCCUACGGGAGGCAGCAGUGGGGAAUUUUGGACAAUGGGCGAAAGCCUGAUCCAGCCAUGCCGCGUGCAGGAUGAAGGCCUUCGGGUUGUAAACUGCUUUUGUACGGAACGAAAAGGUUUGGGCUAAUAAGCUGAGCUCAUGACGGUACUGUAAGAAUAAGCACCGGCUAACUACGUGCCAGCAGCCGCCGUAA